AGAAAGGUAAGCUAAGUGUAAGCUCAUAGGUUCAUACCCUAUUUAUGGCAUCCCCUCUUUCUA
This 63-nucleotide transfer RNA is filed under the name Heptageniidae sp. YW03BF02. RNAcentral describes it as "tRNA-Met". Lineage: Eukaryota; Metazoa; Arthropoda; Insecta; Ephemeroptera; Heptageniidae. The record is from RNAcentral.